Molecule: long non-coding RNA, 2267 nt
Organism: Candoia aspera
Lineage: Eukaryota; Metazoa; Chordata; Lepidosauria; Squamata; Candoiidae
Exons: 2
Source: RefSeq, a predicted model, not a curated record
AACAAAGAAAUUACAAUAAAAUCAAUUAAAGAUGGCAAGUGUGAUGAAGUGAGGGGUCUCACUCUCCCUCACCAAAGGCCUGGGUGAAAAGCCAGGUCUUCACAGCUCUUCUAAGCAACAGCAGAAUGGGGGCCAUCCAGAUCUUGGGGGGAACCUUGUUCCAGGGGGCAGGUGCUGCUACAGAGAGGUGCAUUUCUAGGUUCCUGAGAGAUGACAUUGUUUAAUUGAAGGAACCUGGAGCACACCAACCCAGCAGGAUUGAAUCAGCCAAGCAGAUGCUAUGGGAGAUAGGCAGUCCCUCAAGUAAUCAGCCCUAUGCCAUUUAGGCUUUAUACAUAACAACCAGCAGCUUGAACAAACCCAGAUGCAAACUGGCAACUAGUGCAGUUUGCAAAGCAGAGAUGUUACAUGGGCAUACUGAGGCAUGCCGCAUUCUGGACUAAUUAAAGCUUCUGUGUCGUCUUCAAGGGCAGCCCCAUGUAGAGCGUGUUGCAGUAGUUAAGCCACAAGGUGAUUUGGGUAUGAGUGACUGUCUGAAGGGCCCCCUGAUCUAGGAAAGGGCACAACUGGUGCACCAGAUGGAGUUGUGCAAAGAUCUUCCUGGCCACAGCUGACACCUGCUCUUCAAGCACGAGCUGUGAGUCCAGGAAGACCCCCAGAUUUCUAGUUUUGCUUAUUCAGUUUGAGAGGAAAUUUUUAAAAAUAAAUUAAGACACACUAUAUACUUCCCCAGUCAGACAUUUUGUUAUCGGGAACUUACUAAUAGAAUUCAUCAUUUGGAAGAUUUAAUUUUAAUCGUACUUCAGUAUUGUAAACAGCCACCUUUAUUGUGCAACAUUUACUGCCAGCAGCCUGGUGACCCACUUAUAAAGUAAUGCUCCCACACUAUUCAGGAAUUGUAGGCCUAGUCUCCAGUUUAUAUGCACUCUCCUUGGUAUUCCUUAUCACCAUGGAGACAGAGUUAAUUGUCAACAGAGCUGUCAUGCUCUUCAGUGAGAGCAAAUGGUUCUGGUGCCCAUCAGGGGCUGGGAGUAUUUUGCACUAUGAUAAGGUGCAAAAUGAGAAGGGUCACAUAUAUGUGGAAAGAAAUGCAAAUAUGCCAUACUCUACCCUGAAGUGAGCAAAACACUGUUUUAUAUUUUCAUUCCAUUAAUUUGAAUGGGUUGCCUAUAUUUUGGCUACCAUUCUGUGGCAGAAGGUGGAAACAUUUUGACUGUAGUUUUCAACAAUUCCAUUUUUCCAAUCAGAACAUAAUAGGAUGGGAAAAUGGAUUUUUAUUAUUAUAUUCUAUGAUAAAGGUAUGGAACAUUUUGUGCGUUGAAGACUGUAUUCCCUAAAAAUAUUUUGGAGGGUCCCAUGGCAAUUGGCAGGGCCACAGUCCAAAGUGGCUGGGUCACCCUUUUUUCUCUCUGGACUCUCAAUGAGCUGUUAAGAAAGGCCUAGACAGCUCCUGCUGGAGGUCUAAAGUGACUGUUAAGAGAGACAACUGCAGAUUGCUUGUUCCUGGUGUAGGCUCUAAAACUGUUUAAUGCAUUUGCUGCCUGGCUUAGUGUGAACAACCUGCUAUGUUUUGCAAGGCAGGAGCUGGUGACCAAAAUGGAUCUUUUGUCUAAUCUACCAAAUGACUGGUUUGAUGCUCAGUGUAUUCACGAAAAUAUUUGUAAAGAAGUCCUAGGAGAACAGAUUUCUGGAUUGUCAUCUUCUGGACACUUUUAUCCGCUGCUUCAGGAUGUUCCCUCCAACAGGGAACAUUUCAAGGAAGAUGUUGAAGACUGUCCAUUUGGCUCCUGGCUCUUGAUUUGUUCUCAUGGUAUCCCAAAGCAGUCAAUCUAAAGGAGAAGAAUUAGAACUAUUUUCAAAAUUUAGCCACUGUGGCCUACUUGUAUUGUCACUCAGUUUGGUACAAUAUCCAUAAUUUUGUAACAAGAUGAUCUUCCAUUUCUAUAUUUGACAGUUUUCUACAUACAGUAAUCUUCAUUCAGAUAGAACAAAAAGCAUUUGCUGUUGCCUCUCCAUUAUCCAUGUUCCUAUUAUUAUAAGUAGGGAGUAAGGCAGUUGAUAACUGUGAUUAAACUGAAGUAUUAUGGCUUCCUUAGAUUGUGGGUUGUGGUAAGGAAAUUGAGAACCAAAGCUUUGAAGUAUAUACAGGUAGCUCAAUUGCUCUGAGCCCAUGUUCUAUUGCUAGGUUUGUUAUUGGUUAAUUCCAAUCUGCUUCACACAUGCAUAGUGUUUGGAUAAAAUAACAUUUUUUUGCAUUUGAUUCUUAA